UCUCAUGACUUAACAGUGGAAAAUAUAUAUAAACAUCAUAGUAAUCAUAGCAUUUCUGUAGGGUAUAUUUGUCUAAUAGAAAAUAAUAAAGAAGAGUAAGUGCUGUAAUCCUUAAUCUUUAGGUAAAUAUACAUUCAAGCUUCAUGAACAGUCCUAUGUAAAGGCUCAGCAACCCAUUUACCUUUUAAAUUAACAACCACUUCAAUGGUUAAUUGAGUAUCUCUAAGCCAAUAAAUUACCCUUCAACAUUACUGACUGGAAGCUUAGUAUCCAAAACAAGCCUGCCAUUAAGGAACUCAUUCUUCAACAAAAGGAAAAGGAGGCAUCAAAUUUGAGCUGUGGAUGUGUUUGGUUCUCUUACUCUAAGCACAUUAGUACACUGUGUUUUCUCACUCAGAGAAGCUUUUGUACCCUGAGCAUGUGGCUAUUUAAAUGCCCCAGCGGGGCAUCCAGAGGCUGCGAAAAAAGGAAAAAUUAUUUGGAACAAUUUGCAUUCGUUCAAGGGCAACGUUAAGCAUUUUACAGCUGGUUUAUUGCUAUUCUUGUGCUGUUUAAGCUGUCUUUCAUGUGAAAAGUCCUUUCCUGCUUACCGAUCACCAGGAAGCAUUCUGUCGUGUGCUGUAGGCCCAAGUUCCUCCAGGGCUCCGGGCCUUUGAUCACGGAUACCGUUUGCAGUCAGGAGGCUGAUGAGAUAAGCCUGGGUCCGAACUGAGGAAAGGCCCUUUCCUUUUAAUUAUUCAACUUUGUUUUCUUGUUUUUUAGUACGGGAUAUGCACGAUUCCAGCGCAGAGUAACAGUGUUCAGGAAUUAGAGCACACUUAGAGGUGUAAGAACUUUAAAGGUCAAGAAAAUAGGUUAAAGAUCUCAACUUCAUGAAACCAGGCUCACCAUUUCAGAUCACCUUCAGAUUAUCAUCUGACUUCUAUGCAUUUGCUAAUUAGAAAAGAAAAACUGCAGAAGACGGAGGUCUGCUCUCCAUGGUGUCUCCCCCUCACCGUUCCAGGGAGUACAGCAGUUACCAUAGAGAUUUUCCCUAUGUCUAAAGACUAUUGGAAUCUAGGUUUUUCUGUAAGGGAAUAAUAAUAAAUACCUUCUGUGUAGCAGCCUGGCUUUCUAAUAGGUACAAGAGAUGUAUCAGGCCACAAUCCUUGUAUAAUUUCCUUGAAUAUGGGGAAGAAAGAUGAGCUACAUAAGGUUUUUAUCACAGGCUCUGGUGUCUCUGUAACUCCCUGGCCUAUUGGUUUCAUCUUCCCCUUACUAUGUAGUCUCCAUUGGAUUAUCCCGAUGCUCUCUGAAAACAAACAAAAGCAAUUUUUUUCUAUUUCUCGUAAAGGAGCAGAAAGAUUCUAUAGACAUCUCUACUACAGACUCCUUUUCUCUUUGGUCCCAAGCAAAGGAAUGGGAAAAUUUCUUUAUUAAUUAUAAUAUAGAAUUAUGUGACCAUAUAAAACAAUUUUGUGUGAUCCAGCAAUUCUUUUUCUGGGUAUAUGCCUAAAAGAUUUGAAAGCAGGGACUCAAAGAAAUACUUGCACACCGUUGUUCAUAGAGCAACAUCAUUCACAAUGGCCAGAAGAUGGAAGCAACCUAAGUGUCCAUUGAUAGAUGUGUGGGUAAACAAAAUAUUGUAUAGACAUUGAAUGGAAUAUCACUCAACCUUAAAAAGGAAUGAAAUUCCGACACAUGCUAAAAUGAGUAUGAAAGUUGAGCAGAUUAUGCUAAGUGAAAUAAGCCUACCACAGCAGGAAAAAUACUGAGUCCUUAUGUGAGGUACUUGGAGUAAUCAAAUUCAUAGUGACAGGAAGUAGAAGGGUGGUUGUGAUGGGCUGGGAGGGAGACCGGAAUGAGGAGUUAUUGUUUAAUGGGUACAGAUUUUCAGUUUUUCAAGAUGACAAGAGUUGUGUGGAUGGAUGGCAUUAAUGGUAGCAGAGCAAAUGCAUGCAGUUAAUGCCGCCUAAUGGCAACUUAAAUGUGGUUAAGAUGAUACAUUUUAUGUUACGUGCAUUUUACUGCUAUUAAAAAUUUUAGAUUUCCCUCUAACAUGUGAAACUAAUUAUAGGUUGCCUACUGUGUGCUAAAGGUCGAACUAGGUACUUUACAUACAUUAUUCCUGAUGGAUAUUAUUUUUCUCAUUUUACAAGUGAGGAAACAGAAGUUCAUAGGAGUUAAAAUAAUUUCAAGAGGUUAUGCAAUUAAGCAGCAGAAAUGCAAUCUGAAUUCACAUCUGUGUACUCUCUGCAUUGCCCCACAGUUCUGCUCCCCAUGUGGAACAUAGUUGCGCAGACACACAUACUCUUCCAUAUUUUCAUCUUGGCAUAUAAUAUAUAUUAUUCCUUAGCUUAAGUUAAUUGUGUUAAUUGCUAUACAUACAAAUGUUGAGGUUAACCACUUAAUUAAUAUUGCAAAAUUAAUCCACAUAAUCACGUGGCAUGGUCUGACUCUCACUGCCAAAUGAAUCUGAGAGGAAGAGCUGCCUCAAUACAAACAGCUUUAUUGGUUGCCUCAGGAAGCAAGGAAUUAGACUGAUUGCUUAGGCUUCAGGCUUUGUAAUUACAACCUGGCAUUUUAGUAAUGGCAAUUUAAAAUUUCAGUUCCAAAAGGCUUAAGACCAAGUCUAUCAUCUCACAACUUUUUCUCCCACGUUUUUGGGAAAAGAAUGAAUUACUUUAAAAUGUAUCUUGGGGAACUGCUAGAAGGUUUUCUAAGCGUUUUUGUGUCUCUAAAUGAACUUAAUAUGUGUUCAUUGUGUAACCAGAACAGUCUGUCUGGUAGAGGAAGAAUUUGGGUCCCUGGUAAACAAAAUGGUCUCAGCCUUGCUGGAGCAUGUCUUUCCUAAGUAGUGGGCACAGAAGCAGGAUAAUUGGCUACCUCCUGGUUGCAAAUAUAGGUAUGUUAACGGUGGGCCUGAGGGGAACCUCCAUUUUGGGUUGUAGUUUAUUAUUAGGUGAGGAAAUUACUGGACACCUCCAGCUGCCAUUAAUCAGCCGCAGAGUCAGACUGGAGCCAAGGGAGAAGCCUGUGGGUGGAUUCUGCCGGGUACUGUGGAAAUACAAGAAGACAGAGACAAAUGUUUUCCAGCCUAGCAGCACUAAACUCUGCCCUUUCACAGUCCUUAACAUGCGUGUUCAAAUUGAUUUAGUCCAUUUACCCCCAACCUAACCAUCUAUUUUCCUUGAAGACUGACAGUUUUAUGUGUCGCUACCAUGUUAUUUUCUGUUGCUCCUCUGCCAGUAGCUAUAGUGUUUCAGAAACAUUUACUUCCAGACGUAAAGGAUGAAUGAGGAUGGGGGUGUAGAGAAAGGGAGGUGAGGUUGCAUUAUUUUAACUCCUUUUUUCUAUGCGGUGCAAAACAUGCCCAUCAUGGCACCAACUUUCUCCCUCCCUCUCUCUUCUUUAUUCCUUUUCUGUGUCAAUGACUUCCAUAAAAAAGCCUUGAAUAAAAUUUCCCACUUGAGAAACACAUCUGUCAGGUGAUGUCAACGCCUGGCUUACUCCUCUUCCUGUUGGGUUGCAAACAUGGCUUUCUCUCAUGGUCCUGGAAUGCUGACACGGCCAAGUGGCAGAAGCCAAACACAGGUAGGGUCAAGGUGAAAACCUCAGUGGGGGCCAUCGUCCUCCACUUAGCUUUGGAGGGAAUGGGAAGAGUCCAGGAGCAAUUUGUUUUCUCUGCUCCUGUGUAAAUUCAGAAAAGGGGGAUGGUGGAGAUAAAAACCAAGACAGCCCCCUGUCAGCUGCAGGGACAUCAGUCAAGACAUUCCAAGUGCUUGUCCCGUUGGCGGUGCUUGCCUCAGGAUGAGCAGGAAUUCAGGUCUGACCCUUGCUUUCUUGGAACUGGAUGAAAGUGACUUAUCUGAACAUGUAAGAAUAUUCUGCCCCUGGAGGCCAAAGACUAAAAUUCAGAGUUAAAAUAAAUACUCAGAGAAGGAAAGGAAACAGAGAGGUCAAAGGUUUCAUCAGAUAGGAACCUCUAAGAUUACUGACUUAACCAUACCUUUGUUUUAUUCUGUCUGGUUUUCGUGUACUACUCUAUGCCACAGAAAACAGAGAGACUCUCUUUUUACUCAUCCUGCUUUUGUGUAGAAGGGUAGAAGAUGACAAUUCCAUUGAUUUAUGUAGACAAAUACAAAUAAAAUAAGCAAAAUAAAAUAAAAUAAGCCAUUUUGAAAUGUGUAACCGGAUAUGAGUAUUUGCCCCUGUUUCCAGUGCAUUAGUAUUUGGUGAUGUAUAGUGGCUGAUUCUAUAGUCAUAACUAUUACCCAGUAAGAAAAAAAGGUUUUAAAAUAGUACCCUUAGAAUGAAUGUACUGUUUUCUGAUGAAGGAUAUUCCCAAUCUGGGAAGGAUAUUGAGUGAGACAGAUAUAUGCGUGUAUGUGCAUGUGUUUAAGGAAAAAAACACUAUUACUCUAGCACAGAUUAAACUUGGGACUUAGGGCCAUAGUCAGCUGGUGACUUUACCUGCAGGUCCUCUCUGCGCUGCUGGAGACCACAGGCAGGAUGCCUGCCUGCGUGCUGAGACGGUGUUUGUGGUCACUCUUACAUGGUAAGCACUUGGGUGGCAAUCCCUUGAUUUCCUUGCAGUUCUCAGGGUUUGCAUGGCUGGCUGUUCCCAAUCAGAGGUCACCUCAGUGGCAUAUUGAGUUUCUCUGAUGCAGGGCACCUGUAGGCCCUCAGAGAAAUGAAGCAUGUGGUUCCUUUAGCCAGACAUCCAGUCUCCAUGUGAUGACUGUGGAAUGACAGAGAAGGCCUUCCUGACAUGCGCCAGCUUUUCUUCACCCUUCUGCUCCAGUACUGUCGUGGGCUUGGCCAUUGCAGUGCUGGCCCCGCCCUGCCCUGCCAGUCUGAGGAUGGCCAGAUGAAUUACCCACACUACCUUCUGCCCGGACUGAGUUUUCUUUGAUGGACUGCCAUGCAGAUACCACCUGAUAACACAAACCUCAGUAUGAAGAACUGAUAGAUCACAAAACUACUGUAGGCAAUCUUCACCUACCAGUGAACUUUAAAAGAAUUUAAAAUCUCUUUUUAAUGGGCAUGAGAAUAUAAAUAUACUAACUACUUAGUCACUGAAAAACUUAUCUUUACUGUUUUGUAAAUGUGAUGAAGGAGCUCUAAAGAUCGUAUGACCAUGGCUCAGAAUCCAAAAUUGGGAUCUACAUUGUAAAGCACCAGGACUACCUUUAUGGGAACCACAGAACAGACUGUUCAAAAUCAAGAAUGAGCAGGAAUACAGACAAUUGGAACAGGAUACCAUCAUCUGUGGAAGGGGAACUGACACUUUGGGCCAAAGGAAGAUGGCCAUGGCCUUCUGUUAGGGUCAGUGAAUUCAGAGAGCUAAUUGCAAGGGCAGUGGGCAGUGUGCUGCGCUUUGAAGCCCUAAGGAGAAAGCCCCUCUGUUUUAGAACAGUAUGCUGUAUCUUGGUUAUAUGAGUACAGUGUAUAAAGGAAAGAAAAAGGAUCAAGAUAAAGAUGCCACUGGGAAAGAAUACACAGCCAUCUGGAUAAUUAAUUCUUUUUGGUUAAAUACUUGUGGCUGAGUUAUGUUUAGACUACAAACGGAGGGAGGUGAUUGCAGAAGACUUUCAGCACAGACACCCCUUAUCAGUUAUAUCAAACAAUGUCUUACAUGGCAUCAACACACUGUGAGAAUAUAGAUUACUCUCCAGGAUUCCAGAAGGUACAACCCAGCCAGGAUAAGCAGGCCAUGAUUUCCUUUAGCUGUUUUGUAAUCUUAAAUCAUGCUAUUCCACACACUUCAAAUUGAGGGCUGGCAAACACAAAAGAUGGCCAUCAGGAUCCUGUUUCACCAUUUUGUCAAAUUAUAGUUCAUUUGACUCUGUAUCUCAGUUUUUAUUUUUAGUGUUUGACUUUAUAUUGUUUACUUUUUCUAUUGUCUUUUUUUUCCCCUCUGAAUCAUUGCAAUUGAGUAUAGGUGUAGGAACAGUUCUUGAAUGCUUUGGGGGCCUCCCCAUAUAGGGUAGUAGGAUUUCUGGAAGGGCUGAGUGAGACAGGAGGAAUCCUUUGAAAUAAUUUUUGAUUUUGGGUCUGGAAUUGAAAUCUUGAGCUUAUAUUUAAGCAUGUGCAAUACCAAAAUACUUAUCAAGAACUUGGAAUAAUUUCUCCACUUUAAACCACACUAUUUUAGAAUGAAAACUUGAGAAUUGAAUGACAGAGCAGUUAAAAAUACAUAUAUAAAACAUAUAUAAUGAUAUAUAUCAUUAUAUGUAAAUGUAUAGACAUUAUAUAUAUAUAUAUGCACCCACAUAUAUACAUAUGUGUAUAUUUGUGCUUUAUAUACACACACAUAUACACACACUUCCCCUUGAUGGAUAAUAUAUAAACAAGAAACAAAGUGAAGCAGCUUUGCCUUAUGCUUAAAAGUUACCAUGCUGAAUUUAGUAUAAUUCAACAAAUAUUUAUAGAACAACUGUAUAUUAGAUGUUAGCAAAGGAGAGAAAAUUAGUUGUACAGAUUUUUGUCCUUAAGGUGCUUAUGUUAUAAUUUAGGAGACUAGAGAGUAAACUGAAAAUGUUAUUGUGUGACAAGGUAAACAGCAGAUGAGCUAGGACAGCACUACGUCCAGGCUGUUAUGCAUUGCAGGCGUACAUACAUGCUGUCCUAGAGGGUUUAAACACGUGCAGAGAAUUGUGAAGAAAAAAUUUGACCUAUGUGUUUGCAUUCUGAUUUGAGCUGUUUCUUGUGUGUAAAUGAUCACCAAAUUUACACAAUAACCUUAUAACCCCGAAAGGUUUUUCUUAAUUAUGUCCUUGACUAGAUAUCACUUUUCCCUUCCAGUUCCAACAUUUUGUUAUUCUGUGACUCAAGAAAUUUGGUCUUGCUGCUGGCUUUGUGAAGAGCACAAGGUUUAAAGAAUAAACAACAACAUCCCACUUACUUGCACCCCUACUUUUUGUUGUUGACUUUGGUGAAAGCCCCUCAUAUAUUAGACACAGUUUCAGAAAUCUUGUGAAUCAUUUAACGAAUUAUUAAAUAGUUAUUCAACUUUAAUUUAAUGAUAAUUACAUAAAUUAAUGAUUUCAAAACUGCUGAGGUUUGGUCAAGUCUAAAUUAUAACAAUGUGAAUUAUAGGCUGUUUUAUCUUUUAUUUUAGUUAACAAAACCACAGUGGAUUAGCCUGCAGGAAAUCUGGUCAAUUUUCAUGAUAAAUUGACUUGGCCAUAUAAUGCAUAAUUCAGUUGCACAGCUGUGUACUCUGGUGUGUUCUCUCUGAGGAAUGUAGCUUUAUUUAUAGGUUUGUAUUAAGAAAAUCUGCUCCACUGUUUCACUUUUAUCUCAGAAAUGUAUAAGCCUGUGCAUACUAAUUUUUAACAUAAAAACAAACUGUAUACCUUAGUAUCAAAUUGCACAUAUAUUUUCUAAAAUUCACAUGCCAGGUUUUAAAGAAUCAUGUGAAAGUUCUAUGGAAGCUUUUCAUAUCAUUCUUGUAACCCCUUAUUUAGAAAAAACCCAAUUUUUUAUGUUCAUAGUUUCAAUAAAAAUGUUCCUUAGUAGUAGGUAUUGAUUUUUUUUAUUAAUGAAGAGGUUGGAUGCCAUAGGGCUAAGAGUAUGAAUAUUGAAGUCAUAGGCUGUAAAUAUUCCUUUUCUGUUUUCAUAAUUGCUGAAUGCCAUAACAUGAACAAAACUAAUAUAUAAAAUUGUAUUUUUUCCUUCAUCCCUUAUAUUCAUACAAGGAAAUACAGAAAUCACUCCAUUAUGGAUCCAAUCUCCAAUGAUGUUACCAUCAUGGUUUAACUUAGAAACAGACUAUAUAUGCAUCAGUAAGGACAAGGGGCUAAUGUAAGUCUCAAAGGUACUGAGGUCACCUGAGGCUGGUGACAGUAGAUAAAGUGGUCAGUUAUGUAGCUGUAUAAAAGUUGUUUGAUGACAGGAUUGAUUCUGAGAGCUAAGGUAGGUGUGCUAAGGGUGACUCCUUGAAUCUUAUUAAAAUACACCUUUAAGCCGUGAACAGACCGGGGCAUUCUACGAACUGGGAAAGCCCAUUGAAAUAGUUCUGAUGUGGAGAAUAUCUGUUCCACAGUCAUUGAAAUAAUAUUUCUUCUUCAGCCUUCAGCAUUGUAUGGUUCUUAAGAUUUUAGAAGGGAGGCAAAGGAGCAUUUCCAGAUGUUUCAGAAUAUUGUUUUUAGGCAGAACUUUUAGCCAGAGUUUUUACUUUGGUUAUGCUUACCUUUGAGGAAGUUAAAAAAUUUCGAUUUAAAUAGUAGAUAUGAAGUCCAUCUUGAAAUUUGAUUAUAGGUGAAUAGUAUGCUCUUCUUAAUUUCCUCUUUAUAGGACUGGUUGCAUAGAAUUACACUCCUUAACCAGCUGGUAUAUUUCAGAGAGAGUGUUGGACACAGGGAGUAAGCUGUCUGCUAAGUACUUCUAAUUUCUUACUUCUACUUUAUUGUCAUUAUUCAUGGCAAUUAUCAUUAUUCAUGGUCACUAGAAAUAAUAAAAAGAGGUGAAAGUGAAAUUAAUGCUACAUUUAUUCUUUAUUAGGAUAUUAGAAUGAUUAUUUGAUAGAGAGAAAUUUGUGUAAAUUAAAUGUCAGAUAUGUUUUCAAGAUUUUAUAUUGAUGCUUGAUAUUACAUAAUCAUUUUUCUGAGUGGGAACCAGUUAAGGUUACUGGGAAAACAUCAAGUAAAUAUAUAUUAAAUGCUGCUGAACUAUUUUAUGCAUUUAGCAAUAUUAUAGACAAGGGAGCUGAAACCCAAAUUUUGGUGAGUUAAAUAUUCCUUAAGGCUUAUGAUACCAUUAGAACAUAAUCUGUGGACUAUAGGACUAAAUUUCAAAAUAGUACUGAAAGUUCAAAGUUCUCAGAUGGUUUGAUUUUAUGAAUUCAUGAUUUUUAUAUUUAUCUAGUAUAAUUUUAAAAUGUAGGUUAUUUACUAAAAUGUAAUUAAUAAUUUUCAGUACCUCUAAUUUAGGCAUUUUGAUAUAUACUUCGUUUCUGCCAGUACUCUAAGACUGAGGAAAUUGUACAAGAUUACUACCGAUUCAUACAGAAAAACCCGAACUGGAAAAUUAACAGCAUAGCUGGAAAGACUAAUGAAGUUAGUAUGCAAAAAUGCUUGUAGAGGCUCAAAAUCUAUCCCUGGACCCCAGAAGUGGCUUUUUAAAAAUAUAUAAUCAACGCAGUCAUGAAACUUAAGAAUCAUUUGCUAUCACACUGGUGAAAUACAAUUGUCUGUACGGCAACUUCCACAAUUUUUUCCUCACCAUUGUCUUUUAUCACUCAUCAUUUCCUUUGGACGAAGUGCCUUUAUUAUACUCUCUUUAAAAAGACAAGUGGCUAAUUGACCCGGUAAGGUAGCUGGCCCGGGUUCGAACUCUGUUAUUGAAUUCCUAUAGUGGGAGUGAAAACAAAAAUACUGAUGGAUGCCCAUGUUAUGCCUACAAUUAACAGAGUAAACAUCCUAAUAGGCAUAGAAGACACAAACAGAUGUUCCAAUUGCAUGUCUGUGAGAAACUGAUGUUUACUAGUUCCGCUCUAGCUUGGCCUUUGAGACCUCAGGAAGUUUCCCUCCCAGUGGGGAUUUCAGUGAUUUAUUGAUUUCAGCACAAUGAAUAUUUCAGAAACUAGCAGGAUUUUUAAGAGGUUAAACACAUCCUUACAAAGGUCAGCGUUGAUUCAUGCUUGAAGGGAAUGCUCACUCUGCUUUAACCGGGGUAAGGGCGGUCACAAGUUUGCCAUUCCUGCCUUCGUGGGGAGGACCACGGACAGGGGAAUGAAAGGGAUUUCCCAACAGAGAAUGUAGAAAUAGAACAUCAGCACAGAUUUUUUUUCCUUUAAGCAGAACAAAAAUGAGGGAGGUAUGAAUAACUGCGAACUCCUAAAAAUUCCUGGUUGAAACACCAAUUGGUUUUGUUCAAAACAGUGAAGAUGAAUUUUAGGCUUGUAUUUGAGACACUCAAAACUGAGUAAUGUAAUAAGCCUCAGAAAUUCGAAAGAGUUUUAAAUGCUGAAAAUAUAUCUAUUCCUUCUGUAUUAAAUUUACAAAUAUAUUCUGAUGUAGUUAGUUGGCCAGGGUUUACCAGAAACAGUCUAAAUAAAGCAAUUGAUGAGUAUUUUGUGUUCUGUGCUUUCUUUCUUCUUAGGCACACUCAUGGGUAUUAAUAAACUGAUAUGUCCUCAUUAGUAUUAAUAAUGAUACUCAAUACUUAUCGAGAAUUUACUUAAUGCCAGGUACUGUGUAAAUGCUUUAAACAAAUUAUCUCAUUAGAAGAAUGCCAUUACAUCAGAAGAUUAAGUAUGAAAUCACAGCUGUUAUUUUGCAAUAAAUGCAAACAAUAUUUAUUUUCUUCUUAGCUUCUCUUUUAGGUUGUGUUCAGCCUCAGAAGCAUAAGAUCUGGCUAAGUAUUUUCUUCUUUCAAUUAAAAACAAUAGCAGAUAAGAAUCCUGCGCUAGAACAGGCCUUCUACUUGAGUAUUUUAUGUCUGUAGACCAGCUGGAUACACGUGGCUGUUGGGUACCUGAAACAUAGCUGGUCUGAACUGAAGACUUUGGAUGCAGGAAAGAAUUUAAAAUAUUGCCUUAAUAUUUGUGUAUUGACUACAUGUGAAAAUAGUAGUAUUUUAGACAUCAGGGUUAAAUA
Manis javanica (Malayan pangolin) is the source of this 10583-nucleotide non-coding RNA. The record is from RefSeq and is a predicted model, not a curated record. Lineage: Eukaryota; Metazoa; Chordata; Mammalia; Pholidota; Manidae.